GGAAGUUGGAAGUCUCCCAUGGCCAAAAGGUCCAGGAGGUAUCUCCAUGUCAGUGUCCCCCAUCAACAUGCCAUGGCAGGAGGGUUCCUCUGGCCUGUGGUAGAGCUCUCCAGCCCUCCCUGCUAAGGGUAGAAGGUCAACGCCUCGCCGGGCCCUGGCUCCUUUGGAGACACUGGAAGGGAGAUGUGGCUGGACAGUGGGGUGAAGGACAACACAGUGAAGGACUCGGUCUCAGUGUGCAGUGUUUCUCUCUUGAAGAGAUUGGCUAUAAGGAGAAGGCUGACGGCUGCAGCAUGAAGCGCAUUAUUACCUUGUGAUUCCAUGACCCUCCUCUAUGCAUCCCUAACUCUCGAAAGCUGAUUCAGCUUUCAGCUAGUGCUCUGGUGAGUCC
Molecule: long non-coding RNA, 391 nt
Filed under: Gallus gallus (chicken)
Lineage: Eukaryota; Metazoa; Chordata; Aves; Galliformes; Phasianidae
Description: long non-coding RNA NONGGAT004742
Source: RNAcentral